CCUACGGGUGGCAGCAGUCGAGAAUUAUUCACAAUGGGGGAAACCCUGAUGGUGCGACGCCGCGUGGGGGAAUGAAGGUCUUCGGAUUGUAAACCCCUGUCAUGUGGGAGCAAAUUAAAAAGAUAGUACCACAAGAGGAAGAGACGGCUAACUCUGUGCCAGCAGCCGCGGUAAUACAGAGGUCUCAAGCGUUGUUCGGAAUCACUGGGCGUAAGGCGUGCGUAGGCUGUUUCGUAAGUCGUGUGUGAAAGGCGCGGGCUCAACCCGCGGACGGCACAUGAUACUGCGAGACUAGAGUAAUGGAGGGGGAACCGGAAUGCUCGGUGUAGCAGUGAAAUGCGUAGAUAUCGAGAGGAACACUCGUGGCGAAGGCGGGUUCCUGGACAUUAACUGACGCUGAGGCACGAAGGCCAGGGGAGCGAAAGGGAUUAGAUACCCGAGUAGUC
Molecule: ribosomal RNA, 446 nt
Filed under: uncultured bacterium
Lineage: Bacteria
Description: partial 16S ribosomal RNA
Rfam family: Bacterial small subunit ribosomal RNA
Source: RNAcentral